Molecule: ribosomal RNA, 403 nt
Filed under: uncultured bacterium
Lineage: Bacteria
Description: partial 16S ribosomal RNA
Rfam family: Bacterial small subunit ribosomal RNA
Source: RNAcentral
AUUGAACGCUGGCGGCAGGCCUAACACAUGCAAGUCGAGCGAGCGGCGGACGGGUGAGUAAUGUAUGGGGACUGCCCGAUAGAGGGGGAUAACUACUGGAAACGGUGGCUAAUACCGCAUACUAUCGGAUAACCCAUAUGGGAUUAGCUCGUAGGGGGGGUAACGGCUCACCUAGGCGACGAUCUCUAGCUGGUCUGAGAGGAUGAUAAGCCACACUGGGACUGAGACACGGACCAGACGCCUACGGAGGCAGCAGGGGGGAAUAUGGCAAAAUGGGCGCAAGCCUGAUGCAGCCAUGCCGCGUGUAUGAAGAAGGCCUUAGGGUUGUAAAGUACUGUCAGCGGGGAGGCGUUACCCGCAGAAGAAGCACCGGCGAACUCCGUGCCAGCAGCAGCGGUAAUAC